Molecule: long non-coding RNA, 286 nt
Filed under: Lupinus angustifolius (narrow-leaved blue lupine)
Lineage: Eukaryota; Viridiplantae; Streptophyta; Magnoliopsida; Fabales; Fabaceae
Description: long non-coding RNA (LANG_LNC001964)
Source: RNAcentral
GAAGCUAAGGUUAAGGGUGGUCUACAUUUGGAAUGCCAAAUAACCUACAUGUUCUACUAUGAACAUACAUUUACAUACAAUGACAAUAACAUGGAGUUGAGGAUACAUGAUGAAGGAUAAUAUAAAGUUCAUUCUCCAUACUCUCUAUGAAUACAUUAAGGUACGCUUCCGCUUGAGUUUUAUAUUUAUUCUUGAGGAUUUGACAUGAAGGACAAUAACAUUGAUGAUAGUGUUCAUCAUCUUUAAUAUGUAUUAUGUAUGUUUAAAGUAUAAAGUCUCCCACCAC